AGGAAGUUCAGAGGGAUAUGAAGCUUGUUCCUUACAAAAUAGUGAAUAAAGAUGGAAAGCCUUAUAUCCAAGUCAAAAUUAGGGAUGGUGAGACCAAAGUCUUCAGCCCUGAGGAAAUCAGUGCUAUGAUUUUGGGGAAGAUGAAAGAAACAGCUGAAGCAUUCCUUGGGAAGACGAUUAAGGAUGCUGUGGUAACAGUUCCUGGUAAGCUGUCUUUAACUUAUCUUUUAUUGAAACAUUAACUGCAAUGACAUUUUGAGUAUUUGGUCAUACUGACCAUUUAUUUGUGGUUGACUGGCAGCAUAUUUCAAUGAUGCCCAGAGGCAAGCUACCAAGGACGCUGGUGUAAUUGCUGGCUUGAAUGUGGCAAGAAUUAUCAAUGAACCAACAGCAGCAGCAAUUGCCUAUGGUUUGGACAAGAAAGGUGGUGAGAAGAACAUCCUUGUCUUUGACCUUGGUGGUGGAACCUUUGAUGUCAGUAUCUUGACCAUUGACAAUGGUGUCUUUGAGGUGCUUGCCACUAAUGGAGAUACCCAUCUUGGAGGUACAGAUCUUUCUUUUUAUCAGCUCUGCUCCAAUAUAUAUAAUAAGUGCAUUUAUUUAGUAAAUCAAUGUUUGGAAACUGAUCUAUCCCACCUGGAAGCGGAAGUGAAUCAUGCAGUUAUAGUAAUGAAAAUUCAAAUAUUUAUACAGACAAUCCUUGAACACAGUUUGUCAAUGAUAUAGCUGAGAACAUCAACUGGAUUAUGAUCCAUUUAGCAAUCUGAAAUAUAUAUUGUUCAGAGACAUCUCAUGAUAAUAUGUUAAGUUUGAUAUCAACAUUUAAAAUUGUACAGUGUAAAUACCGGUUAUUCACUGGACGUGAUUAUUCUGCACUGCGAAGAGGAAAGGGUAGAAUGAUCAUUCUAUGAGUUCUUGUGUUGUACAAUAUAUGAAAGUUUCAUUUGUUGUGCAGGAGAGGAUUUUGAUCACAGAAUUAUGGAAUACUUCAUCAAGUUGAUUAAGAAAAAGCACGGAAAGGACAUCAGUAAAGAUAACAGAGCUCUUGGGAAGCUAAGGAGAGAAUGUGAACGUGCAAAGAGAGCCCUGAGCAGCCAGCACCAAGUCCGUGUUGAAAUUGAAUCACUUUUUGAUGGUAUAGAUUUCUCUGAACCAUUGACCCGUGCCAGAUUUGAGGAGUUGAACAACGACCUCUUCAGGAAGACCAUGGGACCUGUGAAGAAAGCCAUGGAAGAUGCUGGUAUGGAGAAAAACCAGAUUGACGAAAUUGUCCUUGUUGGUGGAAGCACCAGGAUUCCUAAAGUUCAGCAGCUUCUCAAGGAUUAUUUCGAUGGAAAGGAGCCCAACAAGGGUGUGAACCCAGACGAGGCAGUUGCUUACGGUGCUGCUAUCCAAGGAAGUAUUCUGAGUGGAGAGGGUGGUGAAGAAACCAAAGGUACUUAUUGCAUGUGUUGUUAUCUUGUGGACCGAUUCAAUGCUGCUUGUUUUCUUGCUAUUAAUCUUGAUUUAGUGAUGUUUUAGACAGCUUUGUCUGAAUUGAUGACCGAUGUGUGUGCAUUUGUGUGCAGACAUCCUUCUCUUGGACGUUGCACCACUCACCCUUGGUAUUGAAACUGUUGGUGGAGUUAUGACCAAGUUAAUUCCGAGGAAUACUGUUAUCCCAACCAAGAAGUCUCAAGUUUUCACAACUUACCAAGACCAGCAAACUACUGUCUCAAUCCAGGUAACGUGUUCCUAGCCAAAAUAAUUCUUACCCUGUUUGUACUGUUAGGUAAAUGGAUGAUUAUGUCCUCUGUAAAAUGGCAUGCUUGCGCUUUAGCUGAGUGUCCGACAAUUUGAUAACAGGUAUUCGAAGGAGAAAGGAGUCUUACAAAGGACUGCAGGCUGCUCGGAAAGUUUGAUCUCACCGGCAUUCCUCCAGCACCGAGGUUUGUUGCAUUCUUUGGAUAAAUAAUUUGUUAUGACCGAACUUGAUGUUAUAUUUUGUUAUCUGAAGGAUCCUGUGUUCUAUUUGAACAGGGGAACCCCUCAAAUUGAGGUUACAUUCGAAGUUGAUGCCAAUGGUAUCCUGAACGUCAAGGCAGAAGACAAGGGCAGUGGUAAAUCAGAAAAGAUCACCAUCACGAACGAGAAGGGUAGAUUGAGCCAAGAGGAGAUAGAUAGAAUGGUUCGUGAAGCAGAAGAGUUUGCCGAGGAAGACAAGAAGGUGAAGGAGAGAAUCGAUGCUCGUAACAGUCUCGAGACAUACAUAUACAACAUGAAGAACCAAAUCAACGACAAGGACAAGCUUGCCGACAAGCUCGAGUCUGAUGAGAAGGAGAAGAUCGAGACUGCUACGAAGGAGGCCCUCGAGUGGUUAGACGACAACCAAAAUGCCGAGAAAGAGGACUACGAAGAGAAGCUUAAGGAGGUGGAAGCUGUAUGUAACCCAAUCAUCACAGCCGUCUAUCAAAAAUCUGGAGGAGCACCUGGUGGAUCCUCGUCGGAAGAUGACGAUUCCCAUGAUGAACUGUAGGUAACUUUUUAGAGUCCAUUAACUACUGAUGACUAGUGAAGCGAGAAAAACGAAAUGGAGUUUAGAAGAGACGAGUGAUGUAAAUUUUGUCAUUUGGGGGCUGAGUCCCUUGCCUGCCUUCUUUUUCUUAAGAAGGAUUAUUUCUUUUCAAAUUACUUGUAGUUUUUGUUUUACAAGAUUCUCGAUGAUAAUUGACGCUUUGCGUAUGUAAUAUACAUUUUUCUGCCUUGACAAUAUGUUUCCUGCAGUAAAUGAGUUCGUAAAUUACGUUCAACAAACAAUAAUUAGUAAAAAUCUCAUAUAUUGAAUUAAUUGCCUCAAAAUUUUUGUUUGUAAAGCAAUAAUGGAGGCUUUGGGGAGCCAUUUAACUAAUAAAUAUUCUGAAGGGACGCUCAGGUCUCGAUACUCCCUGUAUAGAUGCGAUUGAGAUACUCUAUUGCAAGCAUGCAUUGGCUACUUUUGGGCUUGAUGCCUUGAUCCUGAGAGUUGUAGUGCAAACGUGAGCCAACCAUCAUUUGUUGGAAUCUUGUCGAAAAUUGUGGGUGGAUGAAUUAAAAGAGAGGAAGAUAAUGCUAUAUGUGUGGCUUAUGUGACCGCAUAAGCCUUCAAUGUUCGUGGUUGCAUAUGGUUUUUCAGUGGCCAAAGUGGCGACCGAAGCUAUAAUCAUGAGAUCGCAACGCAUGGUUAUAAAAAAAUGGCUGUUGGCUGGAAAUCUUUUUGAAUUUUUGGUGGUUUUCUUGGUGAAUCCAUGCAAAAAUGUGUUGGUAUUCGUCUCUAAACACAAGAAAAAUAUUCUAUUAUUCAUCCAAAUCUUUGAAGAGAUUAUCACAUAUUCAAAACCAUUUUUCACUUGUUCAUUUGAAGAUCACUUUUACUUUUGGUGAUCUUCUUUAAGGCUUGAUCAAUUCUACGAACUAUUUGCCAUUUAAUUCUUAAGAGCAUUGUGAGAGAAGACAAAUAUCGUUUAAGGACAAUGGUAUAAUCUUCGUGUUCAAGUCUUCUUCAAUAUAUACUUAUCUUCUUCUUUAUUUUUUUGUUCUCCAUUGCUAUAUUUUUAUAGCAUUCUUAAACGGCAUUUGUCAUUUUACUGCAAUGGAAACGGAAUCUAGACUUGCCACAAUCAAGAAGAUGAAUCAAGAUUUAGUGAGUUUGGAUAGAUUUGAUAGAUUCAACUUCAUAAGAUGGCAGAACAAACUCAAAAUUUUUUCUAACGGCAUUAAAAAUCUUCUACAUGCUUGAUAUAAAAUUGGAAUCAAUUCUCGAUGCAACGGACAAAAAUAUUGAUGAAGUUCGUGCCUAAAGAAAGAAAAGGGAAGAGGACGAACUAAUAUGUUGCCAUCACAUCCUAAAUGCUCUAUCGCAUCGAUUAUAUGAUCACUACAUCAACACGACUUCAGCAAAAGAGAUUUGGUAUGCACUUGAAAGCAAAUAUAAAGCCGAGGAGGAAAGUACCAAGAAUUUUUAUUUUCUAAAUAUUUUGAUUUCAAGUUUCUAGAUAAAAUUCAUUUGUUAUCUCGAGUGCAUGAGUUGCAAAUUAUUGUCGACAAAUUGCAAGCGGUGAAAAUUGAACUUUCGGUAAACCUUUCAAGUGGGUGCAAUCAUUGCUAAACUUUCGAGAUCUUGAAAAGGAGGAAGAAGAUUCUUCACAAUUCCAAAGAUUUUUCUUUUGAAGAUAUUUAAAAGUAUCUUCGCAUAGAGAAAGAGUCAAAGGGAAGAGAUAAGACUCAAAGUUCUUAUAAUGGCUCUUCGAAAGCUAAUGCCCUGGACAAUAUGGACAAUUCCAACAAAUAUAAAAAGAAAAGGAAACCUCUUGGUUCAAAAAAGAAUUGAGGGAAGUUCAAAAACAAAUCGAAGGGACCUUGCUAUGUUUAUUGAAAAUCGGGAUACUAUGCAAGAGAUUGUAGGCAUAAGCAAUAACCAAAUAAAGAAGGGCAAGUAAAUUCCAUAGAUGAGAUUAUUACUAUGAUGAGCCAAAUCAAUGUAAUCCAAAGCAAAGUUCCGAACUGAUAGUAUGACAUAUGUGCUAUCGUCCAUGUUUGUUAUAAUAAGUCUAUUUUCAAAACUUAUCAUUGCAUUGAAGAUGGUUAAUAGAUCCAAAUGAAAAAUGAAGGAAGAUCAAAAGUGAUUGGCAAAGGUAAUACGGAAAUCAUUUCCAUUUCGGGAAAGAAGAUCACUUUGACAAAUGUUCUUCAUGUACCAGAAAUGAUUAGAAACCCAGAAGUGGAGUUCUAUUGGAAAAACCAGGAAUUAUAAUUAUUUUUGAAUUUGAAAAACUUGUACUUACCCAUAAUGGACAUUUUGUUUGAAAUGACUAUUCCACUGAAAGAAUGGUCAAACUUUGUACUUUUGAGGAUAACUCUAAUAAAAAUAAAUUAUUUGCCUAUGUUACCGAUUCAUUUAAUUUAUGACAUGGUAGAUUUAGCAUAUAUAGGAGUUAGCACUACGAAAAGAAUGAUUAAAUGCAGAAUGAUACAAUGUGAAAUUGAUAACUUGGAAAAAUGUGAAAUAUGUAUUAAAUUGAAGACGAUUAAAAAGCCAUUUUAUAGUGUAUUAAGAUCAACAAACUUACUUUUACUUGUUCAUUCCGACAUAUGUGAAUUGAAUGUCAUGCCAACAAGAAGUGGUAAUAGAUAUUUCAUUACUUUCAUAAAUGAUGCUCUAGGUAUACUUAUGUAUAUUUGUUAAAGCAUAAAGAUGAAGUCUUUAUUGCCUCUAAAACAUAUAAAAUUGAAGUUGAAAAUCAAUUAAGAAGGAAAUUAAAAACUCUAAGAAGUGAUAUAGGUGAAGAAUAUUUUUCUAAUGAAUUCAAUAAGUUUUGUGAAUAAAAUGAAAUAAUACAUCAAUGUUCUGUAUCACGAACACCGAAAUAAAAUGGUUUAGCAGAAAGAAAGAAUAGGACAUGCUUAGAGAUGAUAAAUGCCAUGUUAAUAAAUUUUGAAUUACCAUUCAUAAAUGGAAGAAGCCUUACUUAGUGCUUGUCAUAUGGUAAAUAGGAUUCCUAUGAAAAAGAAUAAGAUUUCCCCACAUGAAAUAUGGAAAGAUAGGAAGCCAAAUAUUAAUUAUUUGAAGGUAUGUGGGUGUCUUGCUUAUUAUAAAAAGAGGAAUCCUAAGAGAACUAAAUUAGGUCCUAGAGGUAUUAAAUGUGCAUUUGUAGGAUAAGUUCUAAAUAGCAAGGCCUAUAGGUUAUUAAACCUUGAGCUAGCUGUCAUAAUAGAAUCAAGUGAUGUGAAAUUUUUCGAGAAUGUAUUAGUGACAAGAAAAUCUCAUAAUAAUGAAGACCUUCUGAAUUCUAGAGAACCACAAGCAGAGACAUUUAUAAGAGAUGUUGAAAGUGAAUCUCGAAAUAGUAAUAGAACUAGAAAAGAAAAAAGUCUAGGCUCAAAUGAAAUAGAUUCCCAACUUAUUUCUUUCCAUUUAGUAGCGGGAGAUAGUAAGGACGUUGUAAGAACAACUCCUUUUGUUCUUCAAGUGGAGAGUGAUCCUUAAACAUAUAAGGAAACAAUGUCUUCUAGAGAUUGUAUAUUCUGGAAAGAGGCGAUAAAUAAUGAAAUGGAUUCUAUUAUUUCAAAUAAUACUUGGGAAAUAGUUGAUCUACAGAAGGGUUUUAAAGCCAUUGGUUGCAAAUAUGUGUUUAGAAAGAAAUACAAUUUCGAUGAAAUACUUAAUACCUACAAAGCUAGAUUAGUAGUUAAAAGGUAUCGUCAAAAGGAAGGAAUAUAUUACUUUGACAUAUAUGCACCGUGGCUAGGAUAACCUCAAUAAGUAUAUUGUUUGCACUGACGUCAAUUUAUGAUUUACAUGUUCACCAAAUGGAUCUCAAGACGUCAUUCUUAAAUAGAGAUCUCGAAAAGGAGGUCUAUAUAAAACAAUCAAAAGCGUUUGUUGUACCGAAAAAUGAACAUAAAGUGCGCAAACUAAUGAAAAAGUGGCAUGUAAAAUUUGACUCUAAAAUAAUUUCGAAUGGUUUUAAUCACAAUUCAAUAGAUAAAUGUCUUUAUGCUAAAGUAAGUGACAGUAUAAUUACAUUAAUAUGUCUGUAUGUAGAUGAUAUAUGAAUCAUCAACUACAAUAUAGAUGGAAUUAAAGAAAUAAGAGGUUUCUGUCCUCUAUGUUCAAAAUGAAAGAUUUUGGACAAGUGAAUACUAUAUUUGGUAUCAAAGUUAAAAAUGAUAGUGGGGAUUUUACAUUGAGCCAAUUACAUUAUCUUGAAAAUGUGAUAAAUUCAAUCACUUGAACAUCAAAGAGGCUAAUACCCAUUUGGAUCUAAGUAUCAAGCUGAUAAAAAAUGAUGGAAGCCAAUAGUUCAAAUUGAAUACACAAGUUUUAUGUACGCGGCACCAUGGACAAGGUCGGAUUUUACAUUUGUUGUGAGUAAAGUAAGUAGGUUUAUUAGCAAUUUUCAAGUUUCUUACAUUAGAAUGCCAUAAGUAGGGUUCUUGGCUACUUAAAGAAAACCAAAAAACAUUGGACUAUAAUAUACACAGUUCCUUACUAUUUUGGAAGGAUAUAUUGAUGCUAGUUAGAUAUCGAGUACGGGAGAAACAAGUCCACUUCAGGUUGGAUAUUUACUUUUGGAGGUUGAGCAGUUUUUUGGAAGUCUAGGAAACAAACAUGCAUUACUCGUUCACCAAUGAAGUCAAAGUUUGUAAUGUUGGUUGAAACUGGAAAAGAAGUUGAGUGGCAUAAAGAUUUGUUGUAUGAAAUACCUUUAAAUAUAAAGGAUAUUUCUUCAACACCUAUCUUGUAUGAUAGUCAAGCUACUCUAGCUCGAGCCUAUAGUGAAGUAUAUAAUUGAAAGUCUAGACAUUUGAUAUGAGUCUAAUACAUAAGUAUAUAAGAAAAUUAAUCAAGCAUUAAAUAAUUUCUCUUGUACUUAUUAAGUCUAGUGAUAACUUAACUGAUUAGUUUACUAAACUUCCUACAAGAGAGUUAGUAAGAUCGACAUCAAAUAGGACAAGAUUGAAACUCCUGAAUUAAUUUCACUAAUAAUAGCAACCCUACCAAAGGUAUACUACAUAAGUAUAUUUAGGUUGAAAGGGUAAUAACAAGUUAUUCGAUAAGUGGAUAGAUUUCGACACUAUUAAACUAGUAAACCCUAUCCUUAAUAAAUAGUGUUGGUUGUUAUUCUUGGAGGGAUGAGUUAUAACAAAACUCUUAAUGAAGUUCAGUACGGGGUAUAAGUAUAUCUCUAAAAGUAACAAACAUACUGGAAGAACUUCACCUAUAUGAACUUCGAGGUGGUGCCGCCUCAUUAAAGAGUUAAAGUUUUUCUUGCUUUAAAAGUUUAAUGAAAAAUGAUAAGUGUAAGGCCAUAUUAGUACUAAACAAGUUAGAGGAACUUGUGAAAAUUUAAUACUUGUGUGUGUGUGUGAUUUCAUCGGUAUUGUAACAAGAAAUAAUUGGUUCAAAGCUUUUUAACUAUCCGGAAUUUCGAUAAUGCUUUAUGAAAAUUACAUAUAGUUAGACUCAAAUCGAAAGAUAUCUAAUGAAUGUAUUUCAAUGAUACUUUAGAUACCAUCUAAACUUGAUAUUUACCUAAUUCCUAUAAGUUUAAGAGCAUUUUAAUGUGUAUUUUGCUGUAUAUAUGUUGAUGAAAUUGAUGGGAAUGUGAUUGAAAAUAAGUAUGAAAAAUAUAUUAAAGUAAAGUAAAGUAAAGGGAAUCAAGUAGGUGCUUCCCAAGAGCUCUGUUAUCUUAGCUUAAUCAGCUUAAUGAAGUAUUCGAUAAUUCUAUGAUCAAAAUCCUCUCCUGCACAACAAAUGAACUUUCAGCAUCAUUAAACCCAACAAUAACUCACAAAAUUAUCGUUCUAAGCCUUCCUUUUUGAAGUGCAUAAUAAUAUAUGUUGGACAAUUUUUAAAGAUAAAAUCGAAACUUAAUAUGUUAUCAAUACAUAUUUCAGAUUGCCGAAUUGAUCAUACAUCAAAUUGAUUUCUCAGCUAUAUCAUAAAAGGACAAUGUGUUCAAGGGGUGAGUAUUUGAAUAUAUUACGUUUCGAACUUUUGACCUAUAACUGCAUGACACACUGCCACUUGCUACAGAAAUAUAUCAGUCAUUUUCGAAAUAUUGAUUUUCUAAUAAAUGCAAAGAUGGAUAUAUUAGCAAGAAAUAUCUGUACGUCCAAGAUGGGUGUUUCCAUUCGUGGAAAGAACCUCAAAGACACCAUUGUCAAUGGUCAAGAAUUUAUAUUUAUUCCUCAAUUUGGAAGCUGGUUCUUUAUCUUCAAUUGGAAAGUUUGUUCAUGCUAGUAUGCCCUGAAUUUGAUAAAAGUUACUACUUCCCAAGAUUUAAAAGAGAAAAUAUUGUGCUGGAAAGGCUCAACUAAAUGAUGCAAUUUUAGGCAGUGUUGUGCAACUUAUGAUGGAAACAUACUGCCCUUUUUAAUAAUUAACAGCUUCCGCUUUUAUAUGAGCCAGUUAACGUUGUUGCGACCUGUUUAUUAAAAAAUGUACACGUGUCUCACUUUCAUGGGAAAAAAACACAUUGGGGCACUGAAUAUAGGAUUUAUACGAAUACGUAUGGCCAUUUUCUAACCACUUGAGCUUUUAGAUGAAAUGGUUAACAAACCAAAAACAAACUUUAGAAGAUGGAAUUAACCAAGUGGUCUCACUGUCUAAAUGCCAACUGGAAAGAUUGAUAUGUAUGGUUGUCAACAAGUAAUUGUUAUGUUAUAACGCUACUGCUUCUCAAUACGUCCUUGGCUUAUGGUUUGAUUGCUUUGGCUUCGGUGUUUGAAUUGUUAUUAAUUCGCCAAAUGAUUUCAUGAGUACUAAAUUGACUAACCUUGUCUUGUCAAACAGGUUGUCUAUCAGCAAUUUCUAUUGCGAAGGAGGAGGCCACCAAAUUGGGAACAGUCAUUGGUAUAGACCUUGGUACUACCUAUUCCUAUGUUGGUGUUUACAAGAAUGGACAUGUAGAAAUCAUAGCUAAUGACCAAGGAAAUCGAAUUACCCCAUCAUGGGUUGCAUUCACUGACACUGAAAGAUUGAUCGGUGAGGCUGCAAAGAACCAGGCAGCUGUCAACCCUGAGAGGACUGUCUUUGAUGUUAAAAGACUCAUUGGAAGAAAGUAAUUCCUUUUUGCUCAAUUUAUAACAGUAUUUUCUUCUACAUUUUGAUGAAUAAAUACUGAUUAAAGUUUUGAAUUGUUUCUUGACAGGUUCGAGGAUAAGGAAGUUCAGAGGGAUAUGAAGCUUGUUCCUUACAAAAUAGUGAAUAAAGAUGGAAAGCCUUACAUCCAAGUCAAAAUUAGGGAUGGUGAGACCAAAGUCUUCAGCCCUGAGGAAAUCAGUGCCAUGAUUUUAGGCAAGAUGAAAGAAACAGCAGAAGCAUUCCUUGGGAAGACAAUUAAGGAUGCUGUGGUAACAGUUCCUG
Molecule: long non-coding RNA, 9886 nt
Filed under: Olea europaea (common olive)
Lineage: Eukaryota; Viridiplantae; Streptophyta; Magnoliopsida; Lamiales; Oleaceae
Description: long non-coding RNA (OEUR_LNC005222)
Source: RNAcentral